AGCGCCGCGCAAGCGGGCCGACGGUCGACUCCGGCGGCGUAGGAGCCUUCAGCCCGGCUCCGGAAAGCUGCGG
This is a non-coding RNA of Mycobacterium sp., 73 nucleotides long. The record is from Rfam. Lineage: Bacteria; Bacillati; Actinomycetota; Actinomycetes; Mycobacteriales; Mycobacteriaceae.